Molecule: unclassified non-coding RNA, 333 nt
Filed under: Hevea brasiliensis (rubber tree)
Lineage: Eukaryota; Viridiplantae; Streptophyta; Magnoliopsida; Malpighiales; Euphorbiaceae
Source: RNAcentral
GGUGUGUGGUGCGUGGGUGGGGGUUGUGGGGGGAACAUGAAUCUACACAAAAACAAAUAUAAUAAGCUCCUUAAAGUUUUUUUUUUUUUGCUUGGCCGGGGACUGUUCCCCCCUCCCAACCCCCUAGUUCUACGUUGCUUGUUAUUAUUGUUAAAAUUGUAUGACAGAUUUAUUAUUCAUAUAUUGUCUUUUGGAAUUUCAGAUUUUUUUUUGAAAUUUAUCUUAGCAGAUAGGCAAUUGGAAAUGUGUGUGUUUGUGUGUGUGUGUGCGUGCGUGAUGGGAUAAUCAAGCAACGCAUCCAUUUCUUUUAGGUCCUGCAAAGCAAGUUGAACU